This 283-nucleotide unclassified non-coding RNA is filed under the name uncultured bacterium. RNAcentral's name for it is "contains 16S-23S intergenic spacer region". The record is from RNAcentral.
CUUCCCAUGGCAGCUUCCCACCUUCUCGUUAACAAGCACCAGACACUCUCCUUCGACCCCCUCUUGGCUGCCAAUCUCCGGUCCCACUUAUGGCAGUUAUCAUUCUAGAAGUAGUUAAUGUAGUGGUUAUUAUAGCAUGUAGUGGCAUGUAGUGGUUAUCAUAUUAACUUCAAUGUAGUGGUUAUUAUGUUAACUUCCAAGUUGCAUGUAUUUAAAAAGGCAACAGUGCACUGAAUAAAGGUAGAGAAAAUUCACCAAGCUUGCUUUUGUUUUCCUUCUUUCC